AACUUGACAAGUCUAUGUUGUAUGAAUCUAUGUUUAUAAUAGUCAAAGUAUAAUCAUUUAAUAAUUUGUGUGACUAUUUUUACUAAAAUCAUUAAGUAAUAAAUUAAUUUCACCAGUAAUAAGUCUACAUUUAAACCAGGAAACAUGGUACGGAAAUGUAUUGUCCUCAACUGUCAAUCAUCAAAGGGGAAUAAAAAUAAUAUUUCUCUUUUUCAUGUUCCAAAGGAUCCUCAACUUUUUGAUGCUUGGAAAUCAAAUCUUCCAAUGCUACGGAAACCUCUCAGUGUAUUAAGUUUGGUUUGUGAAAAACAUUUUCAUCCAAGUGAUGUUCUGUCACAAUAUACUCAAAAAUUACCUUCAGAAACGUGGAUAUAUCCUCGUAGUAAAAAAGGACUGAAACCUAAGGCUGUCCCUAUAUCUUCAGACGUCUGUUCAACUCCAGAUAAUACAAUAUUACAGGUUGAUAACGAGACAAGAAAAGCAAAUGAUGAAGUACCAAAUGAAUCUAAUAUUGAUGCACCAAUUGAUUCUUAUGUUCAUGCAUCCAUUGAUUCUGAUGUUAAUGUACCAGAUGAGCAUGAAUUUUAUGUACCAAUUCAAUGUAAUGUUCAUGAACAAAUUGACUCUGAUGUUCAUGUACCAGAUGAGCAUGAAUUUGAUGUACCAAUGCAAUGUUAUGUUCAUGAACAAAUUGACUCUGAUGUUCAUGCACCAACUAAAUCAUCAUUACAUACGAUACAUGCGUCAACUCAGACUGUAGACCAUGAAGACAUGGAAAUUCAAGAACUACCAACUGAACACUGUAAAGUGCCAUUUACUUUUGAUUCUCUACUCAAUAACCUGAAUAAUAUAAAAUAUCCUGGAAAUUGUGACUGGGCUCAUACUGUAGCCCCUGAUAAAAAAACAGUAAUUUUUGUAUCGGUUCCAACUGAUAAUAUAUUGCGUCGAGUGGAAAUAUAUGAUAAUUUAAAUUCUCGGGUUUUGAUGGAGUUUGUUCAUGUACAUCAAGAUUAUUUGCAGCAUAAUUUCAAAAAUAUGAGUCAAGUCGUUGAUUAUUUAACAACAAUUUAUAAUUGGAAACUCUGUGCCACUUUAAAAGAUACUGGAAGAUUCGUUUUUGAUACCGUUUGUGAAGGUAUUGUUUCUUGUUGUAUUAAACAAGGUAUUGGUCGACCACGUUUAAGGUGCAUGUCUUGUGUUAUAAAAUUAGAAUCCAAGAAGUAUCGAAAACCUCCACCAACUACUACAGUAAAAAAAGUCUUAAAAAAAAAGAUCUUGCAGCAGAAGGUGAUUUAAGCAAAAGAACUAUGUUGAGCAAUGAGAUAACAACAAGUAUUCUUACCUGAAACACAAGCUGUUACUGCUGUUGGUUGAUGAACUGUUACAACGUGAGCCAUUAUUUAAGUGAAGUGGAACAACUUGAAAUCAUUGAGCACUUUACAGUUAAUUGAAUUUACAAAGAAAAAAAGAAAAUUAAAAUUUAACUUUGGGUCUCUUAUCUUUCAUGUUGUCGAUAAUAGAUAUAUUUAAUAAGCUGCAAAAAGAAAUAGUUUUAAACCAGAAUAAGUGAAUAAUCAUUUUCUUCUGAUAAAAAUUUAUAUAAUUUUGUUUAUUUUAAUUUUUCGAUACAUCAACAUUAUUAUAAUUAUUUUUUUCUUUUUGUGUGUGUACUGUUGAGACUGGCUAAUGUACGAAUAUGUGUAAGCUAAAGACAAAUAACCAAGUUGUAUAGUUUUUACAUUUUUUAUUUCUUCAAAACAAUUAUUAGAGAAUUUUUCUUAUUCUCAAAAGGCACAUUUUUUUAUCUUUCAUAUGGUUUCAAAAUAUU
RNAcentral lists this unclassified non-coding RNA (1828 nucleotides) under Aphidius gifuensis. RNAcentral's name for it is "uncharacterized LOC122857463, transcript variant X2". The record is from RNAcentral. Lineage: Eukaryota; Metazoa; Arthropoda; Insecta; Hymenoptera; Braconidae.